GACGAACGCUGGCGGCGUGCUUAACACAUGCAAGUCGAGCGAGGUCCAACCGGUGGCAACACUGGGGAAGACCUAGCGGCGAACGGGUGAGUAACACGUGAGCAACCUGCCCCGAAGACUGGGAUAACACCGGGAAACCGGUGCUAAUACCGGAUGCCCUCACCGGGUCGCAUGACCUGGUGAGGAAAUGAAUUUUGCUUCGGGAGGGGCUCGCGGGCUAUCAGCUUGUUGGUGGGGUAACGGCNCACCAAGGCUACGACGGCUAGCUGGUCUGAGAGGACGAUCAGCCACACUGGGACUGAGACACGGCCCAGACUCCUACGGGAGGCAGCAGUGGGGAAUCUUGCGCAAUGGGCGAAAGCCUGACGCAGCAACGCCGCGU
RNAcentral lists this ribosomal RNA (382 nucleotides) under uncultured bacterium. RNAcentral describes it as "bacterial SSU rRNA". It matches the Rfam family "Bacterial small subunit ribosomal RNA", at positions 28 to 402 of the family's 1533-position model. The record is from RNAcentral.